RNAcentral lists this ribosomal RNA (245 nucleotides) under uncultured bacterium. RNAcentral's name for it is "partial 16S ribosomal RNA". It matches the Rfam family "Bacterial small subunit ribosomal RNA", at positions 524 to 768 of the family's 1533-position model. The record is from RNAcentral.
UACGUAUGGGGCGAGCGUUGUUCGGAGUUAUUGGGCGUAAAGGGCGUGUAGGCGGCUCAUGAAGUCUGGUGUGAAAACGCAAGGCUUAACCUUGCGGAGGCGCUGGAAACUGGUGGGCUUGAGUUCCUGAGGGGAAGCUGGAAUUCCAGGUGUAGGGGUGAAAUCUGUAGAUAUCUGGAAGAACACCGGUGGCGAAGGCGAGCUUCUAUCAGAGGACUGACGCUGAGGCGCGAAAGCGUGGGGGG